UUACAGAAAUGUGUCUGUGCAAUGUGAGGAAGGAGGAUGGACUGUUAUUCAAAAACGGUAUGAUGGUAGUGUUGAAUUCCACAGAAAUUGGAAUGAUUAUGAAAACGGAUUUGGAAACAUACAUGAGGAGUUUUGGUUAGGCAACAAGAAUAUAGCGCAACUGACAUCAGAGGGAAAUCAUGAACUUAGGAUCGAUGUGGAGGACUGGGAUGGAAACAAGCGUUAUGCAGUUUAUAGAAGCUUCUCAAUAGGCGACGCAUCUACAAAAUACCGAUUAAGUAUCAGUGAUUUCUCAGGAAACGCAGGUGACGGAAUGAGCUAUUAUAG
Molecule: long non-coding RNA, 327 nt
Organism: Mytilus californianus (California mussel)
Lineage: Eukaryota; Metazoa; Mollusca; Bivalvia; Mytilida; Mytilidae
Exons: 4
Source: RefSeq, a predicted model, not a curated record